This 465-nucleotide ribosomal RNA is filed under the name uncultured bacterium. Its description in RNAcentral is "partial 16S ribosomal RNA". It matches the Rfam family "Bacterial small subunit ribosomal RNA", at positions 28 to 507 of the family's 1533-position model. The record is from RNAcentral.
GACGAACGCUGGCGGCGUGCUUAACACAUGCAAGUCGAACGGACAGACCCCUUUGGGGGUACUCGAGUGGCGAACGGGUGAGUAACACGUGAGUAACCUGCCCUUAACUUCGGGAUAACGUCAAGAAACUGGGGCUAAUACCGGAUAGGAAUCCUUGCUGCAUGGUGGGGGUUGGAAAGCUUCGGCGGUUUUGGAUGGACUCGCGGCUUAUCAGCUUGUUGGUGGGGUAGUGGCUUACCAAGGCUUUGACGGGUAGCCGGACUGUGAGGGCGACCGGCCACAUAGGGACUGAGAGACGGCACAGACUCCGACGCGUGGGAGCAGUGGGGAAGAUUGAACAAUGGGCGGAAGCCUGAUGAAGCAGCGCCGCGUGCGGGAUGACGGCCUUCGGGUGGUAAACCGCUUGCAGCAGGGGCGAAGCUUGUGGUGACGGUACCUGCAGAAGAAGCACCGGCUAACUACGUG